AGAGAGGUGGCCGAGUGGCUGAAGGCGCACGCUUGGAAAGCGUGUUUAUGGUAACAUAACGUGGGUUCGAAUCCCAUCCUCUCUGCCA
This 88-nucleotide transfer RNA is filed under the name Flavobacterium gawalongense. RNAcentral's name for it is "Flavobacterium sp. GSP16 tRNA-Ser". It matches the Rfam family "tRNA". From Rfam's summary of the family: Transfer RNA (tRNA) molecules are approximately 80 nucleotides in length. Their secondary structure includes four short double-helical elements and three loops (D, anti-codon, and T loops). The record is from RNAcentral. Lineage: Bacteria; Pseudomonadati; Bacteroidota; Flavobacteriia; Flavobacteriales; Flavobacteriaceae.